GGGAAGGUGACUCAGUGGUAGAGUGCUUGCCUAGCAUGCAUGAAGCUGUGGGUUCAAUUCAUCAGUACCA
This is a non-coding RNA of Dipodomys ordii (Ord's kangaroo rat), 70 nucleotides long. Lineage: Eukaryota; Metazoa; Chordata; Mammalia; Rodentia; Heteromyidae. The record is from Rfam.